Molecule: long non-coding RNA, 826 nt
Filed under: Anas platyrhynchos platyrhynchos (common mallard)
Lineage: Eukaryota; Metazoa; Chordata; Aves; Anseriformes; Anatidae
Description: lncRNA (ENSAPLG00000018674.1)
Source: RNAcentral
UGUAUGGCCUAUGGACACAGCACCACUUCUAGUUUUGGCCAAGACACACUCCAGACUGGAGAAACAUGGAUGACCAUCUGGAAAACAAAAUAAGAUCACAGCAACUGAGGCUUGAAGUCCCAAAGAGUGCAGACUACAGCAGAAGUAAAGGUGAAAGUCUUCCCAGAGAUCACAUGAAGGAAAACCUGGCAGACAACAGCCGCAGUGUCACCACCAAGGAAGCUGUGGGGUGAUCAGGGCUCUCCUCCAUGGCUUCUCCUUAUUUCAGGGCUUAUAAUAUGAACAUUCACGUCAUCAGUCAUGCAUUAUGGGGACAGAAGAAGCAAAUUUUUUGCUUGAAGCUGACAUUCAAACUUGCUGAAGAUAAAGCAGACCUCUGGCUGGACAUGAGAGACCCAGAACAAAAGAGAAGUGCCAGCCUCCGCAAGCGAUGAUUUCCUGAGCUGUGCCAAAUUGAGUCUGCCAUGUACUAAAGGGCCUGAUAAAAGGUUUUGGGGGACCCUGACAAAUAAUAACCAAUCUAAGAGUGCACAGAUUUAAGUUUCCACUGCCUAUUCUUAAUCUAAGGAAGUGAGACUCGAUCAUCUUUGCAUUCCAUUUUUUAAAUCCUGUUUUGGGUUCUAUGAAACUCAAUAUUUAGCCUAAGAACAGUUCGUUUGGGAAAGAAAAAAAAAAAAAAAAAAAAAGUAAUUCCUGAAAAUUCACUAAUAUAUUCACUUAACUGAACAUCUGAGAGCAACUGCUAAAUAUAGUAUGUGCUGUAGUUGUACUUCAUGGCAUCUUCUACAUUUAAAUAAAAGCAGGUUUAAAUAAAGAUUUGAUGUCA